RNAcentral lists this ribosomal RNA (164 nucleotides) under uncultured bacterium. RNAcentral's name for it is "partial 16S rRNA". It matches the Rfam family "Bacterial small subunit ribosomal RNA", at positions 355 to 511 of the family's 1533-position model. The record is from RNAcentral.
UAGGGAAUCUUCCACAAUGGGCGCAAGCCUGAUGGAGCAACACCGCGUGAGUGAAGAAGGGUUUCGGCUCGUAAAGCUCUGUUGUUAAAGAAGAACACGUAUGAGAGUAACUGUUCAUACGUUGACGGUAUUUAACCAGAAAGCCACGGCUAACUACGUGCCAU